This 253-nucleotide ribosomal RNA is filed under the name uncultured bacterium. Its description in RNAcentral is "partial 16S ribosomal RNA". It matches the Rfam family "Bacterial small subunit ribosomal RNA", at positions 524 to 776 of the family's 1533-position model. The record is from RNAcentral.
UACGUAGGGUGCGAGCGUUGUCCGGAAUUAUUGGGCGUAAAGGGCUCGUAGGCGGUCUGUCGCGUCGGGAGUGAAAACUCAGGGCUUAACCCUGAGCCUGCUCCCGAUACGGGCAGACUAGAGGUAUGCAGGGGAGAACGGAAUUCCUGGUGUAGCGGUGAAAUGCGCAGAUAUCAGGAGGAACACCGGUGGCGAAGGCGGUUCUCUGGGCAUUACCUGACGCUGAGGAGCGAAAGUGUGGGGAGCGAUCCGG